Long non-coding RNA from Marmota monax (woodchuck), 1083 nucleotides. RefSeq lists it as uncharacterized. Lineage: Eukaryota; Metazoa; Chordata; Mammalia; Rodentia; Sciuridae. The record is from RefSeq and is a predicted model, not a curated record. The transcript is spliced from 2 exons.
AGUCGUCCAGACGGUCCCAGCAGCCCGCCGCGCUCCGGCCACGUCUCAGCCCGGCAGCGGGAACCGCCUCCUGAGUGACAGCCGCCCGCUGGCAGCGCCCAGGAGCGACGUCGGCUGUGUGCUCUCUGAUUGGCUGCGGGCCUUGCUACUCUGCAAAGGGCGGGCUCUUCUUGAUGGGCCACAUCACACCUACCAAUCAAAUCGUGUUUCCAUUCCUCGUAGCCUGGCUCUUUUCCGGACGGCGUUACCAAUGAGAAAUGCCCAGCCCCGAGUGCUCCUCUCUGAUUGGCGAGCUCGGCAGUUCCCGGAACACCUUUUCUGAAGCAGAUUGGCCAUCCUGGUGUCUGGCCUCGCCUCCCAGGGGGUGGGCUGCUGAGGACGUGACUGUCGGUGGUGGAAGUGGAUGCCCUUCAAAGGGCUGAGCUAACCGCUUCUUGAUUGGUUGGAAGCUGCACUUACUACGUGGCGGAUUCUGACUGUGAAGGUCUGGACGGACCCCCGGGAAAGGAGGAGUCGGGGCUAAGUCCCUGGUGGCCGGGAGGCUCCGAGAGUAAAGAGGCUUUGGCUGCGGCGCCUCCGUGUCUGUUUGGAAAGGCAAAAGCGAGUCAGAAAAAAAAUAAAUAAAGCGACUGCAGAGCGGUAUGAUCUGGAGGUAUGUCCCUCAUUUCUCCUGGUGGUCAUCUCAACUCCAGCAUCACUCUCUACAGGAAGAGAAAGGGAAGCACAAGAGCGUGUAACACUGGAUCUGUCCUAUCAAAGGGCUUUCCAAGCUUCUGUUUGCGUCUCACAGAUCAGCCUGUUUCAAACAGCCACCGAAGUACAAGGGAAGCUAAUGCCAAUGCGGAAGGAAGGGGUACUUGCAACCAGCCUUACUGAAGUCUGACCCAUGUCCCCCAUGCUGCACCUUCUGGGAGGAUACCCGUGGGCGAGUUUCAAUAAAUACAUACACGGCAGUCGAGAUACAGAAAGUCCCCAUUUCUGUCCUUGGGCCCUUUUUAAGCAGUCAAUCCCUCCUCCCAUCUUGGCCCCAGAUAAUCACUGAUCUGUUUUCUGUCACAAUAAAUUAGUCUGCCUUUUCUGUAA